UUUAUUAAACAGUAUUCUGCAACAAAUUAUUUUAUCACUGAAUCAUUUUAUCAAACACGUGAACUGCAGUUUUCAACCAAACUCAAUUGCUUCAACUCCACACAUGACCGCUUCCAGCAGUCACAGAAACAACUCCAGACAUAAAGCACAAAUUCAACUCAAAUAAAAUUCGUUUUCGUAUUCACAAAUUCCACCGUCAAUUUCAACGAGUGCCUAUUCCAAUUCGAACUAGCACAAUUCUCCGAUAAAACUUGCGAACUGGAAAUUAAGAGAAGAGAUGAGGAUACAGUGGCUAGAUUAAACAGUACCUUAGGUCACGAACAACACCAAACAACUUUAACAAAUUUCUAGAAACAAAUUCAAAAUAGCAAUGCGCAUAGAUAAACUGCUCAAAUCACCUCCAACUAAAAUUCAAACCACAUACCACCUCCGUACCAGAAAUUGAACCAGAAUUCUUCAACAGUUUGAUUCUCGUGUAGUUUCGUUUUCAAGAACACACCAAAACAGAUAAAGAACGCAGAUGGAAAUGCAGAAACUCACUGUUUUUAUUUUCGUUUGAGAAGACGAAACUAACCAGUCGGUUCACCUAACUCGCCGGAAAACGCCACUUCCGUUCGCCGAUCAACACCGUAAAACUGCCGUUUGCAAAUCAACAACGCAUCGUUUCUAUUGGAUUUUGGCGGAAAACGCACAACCUCCGUUCGCGAUUCUGAACCACUUAAAGUCGUCGUCUCCGAUUAAGGUCGUCGUCUCCGAUUAUGGUCGUCGUCUCCGAUUAAGUUUGUCUUCUUCGAUUAAGUUUCUCCAAGAGAUGAACACAAGAAGAAACGAAUCCAAAUGCACGAAAAUUUUGUUGUGCGUACCUUCAAAAAUCCUUUGCGCACCACAUAUUUCAUUCAGACCAGAGUUCUUCCGAUUCCAACUUCAUGAAUGCUUAGAAGAUGAAGAACAACAACACAAAUCGCAGAGAAAAUUUGAGGAAAAUCUGAAAAUCUAAACCAAAUCUGCUAUUCGUACCUCUGGCUUCAUUGUCCGCACCAAAUAUCCAAUGAGAUCUCCAAACAGGUUCAGAUUAAGAUGCACACCACUGGAAACGCUUUUUGAACCACGAGAAACUUUCGGAAAAUUUUCGAGAAUUUUCGAAAAUGAAUUUUGAGAGAAAAACCUAAGUCAAAGAAAAUUGCUAAU
This 1188-nucleotide long non-coding RNA is filed under the name Phaseolus vulgaris (common bean). RNAcentral describes it as "long non-coding RNA (PVUL_LNC003471)". Lineage: Eukaryota; Viridiplantae; Streptophyta; Magnoliopsida; Fabales; Fabaceae. The record is from RNAcentral.